RNAcentral lists this long non-coding RNA (1003 nucleotides) under Androctonus crassicauda. The record is from RNAcentral. Lineage: Eukaryota; Metazoa; Arthropoda; Arachnida; Scorpiones; Buthidae.
ACUUUAACUAAAUUUCCCAAAAUUAAAAAUUUGCCUUGGCCUGGGAUUGAACCAGGAACUUCGGGUUACCGUCCCAGUAAUACUAGUUAGACUACCAAGACAUCGGCAAAUUUUCAAUUUCAGGAAAAUACAUAUAUAAAUAAUAAUAUAUAAUAAUAAUAUAAAUAAAUACACAUAUACCACCCUCUUUAUUCUAAAAUGGUCUCCCGACCCUUUUUAUUAUAAAAUAGUGACUUUUCGUUUUCUUUUAAAACGUGUGAUGACUCACUGUGGUGAUAUGCAAAGUAAAGACAGUGAAUUUAAAUGGAUUUUAGACCAAGCCAUCAAGCAUAGUUAUACACCAUCAUUUGUAUAGUAUUUUUAAUUCAAUAACUAAUACACCUAAUGCAUCCCAUGACUUAUAAAAUCACCUUACCCAACAAAAUAAUGGGAUUUUCCUACACUCUAUACUGUUUACCUAUGCCAUCCAUCCAUUAAAGAAAGCCUUAAAAGAAAACGAUUUAAUUCUACGUUUUAAUAGACUAAAUACUAUCUAUAAUGGUUUAAAGAAUGUUAAGCCUCCAGUACCAAUGAAACAAAGGGCAGGUGUAUAUCUAAUACCAAUAUACAAUAAUGAUCUUGGUAGAAAUGAAAUAUAUAUAGGUAAUACAAUCUGCUUAUUAGAAAUUAGAAUUACUGAGCAUAAAUGUGAUAUACAUAACAUGAUAUCUAUGAAUAUAACAUUGAUAUUUAUUGGGAUAGAGCUAAAUUUAUACAACCUACUAAUAAUAUGUCUGAAAUUAAGUUAGCUGAGGCUCUUUGUAUAAAACAAUAUCUUAAAAAAUGCCAUGUAAUUAAUGACAACCCUCCUGAAGCCAUCCCACCCUCUUGCGAUGCAAUAUAGAUAUAAUGUGUUCCCUAUAUUUUACAGUUAUGUAUUUUUCUUUUUAUUUAUUUCAUCUUAUAUAUACUUUAUAUAAUUUUUAUAUUUGUUCUCCUGAAGCCAUCCCACCCUCUUGCGAUG